AGCGAACGCUGGCGGCAGGCCUAACACAUGCAAGUCGAACGAACCUUUCGGGGUUAGUGGCGGACGGGUGAGUAACACGUGGGAACGUGCCUUUAGGUUCGGAAUAACUCAGGGAAACUUGUGCUAAUACCGAAUGUGCCCUUCGGGGGAAAGAUUAAUCGCCUUUAGAGCGGCCCGCGUCUGAUUAGCUAGUUGGUUGAGGUAAUGGCUCACCAAGGCGACGAUCAGUAGCUGGUCUGAGAGGAUGAUCAGCCACAUUGGGACUGAGACACGGCCCAAAAUCCUACGGGAGGCAGCAGUGGGGAAUCUUGCGAAAUGGGCGAAAGCCUGACGCAGCCAUGCCGCGUGAAUGAUGAAGGUCUUAGGAUUGUAAAAUUCUUUCACCGGGGACGAUAAUGACGGUACCCGGAGAAGAAGCCCCGGCUAACUUCGUG
Molecule: ribosomal RNA, 434 nt
Filed under: uncultured bacterium
Lineage: Bacteria
Description: partial 16S ribosomal RNA
Rfam family: Bacterial small subunit ribosomal RNA
Source: RNAcentral